AGUGAACGCUGGCGGUAGGCCUAACACAUGCGAGUCGAACGGCAGCACAGUAAGAGCUUGCUCUUACGGGUGGCGAGUGGCGGACGGGUGAGGAAUACAUCGGAAUCUACUUUUUCGUGGGGGAUAACGUAGGGAAACUUACGCUAAUACCGCAUACGACCUACGGGUGAAAGCAGGGGAUCUUCUGACCUUGCGCGAUUGAAUGAGCCGAUGUCGGAUUAGCUAGUUGGCGGGGUAAAGGCCCACCAAGGCGACGAUCCGUAGCUGGUCUGAGAGGAUGAUCAGCCACACUGGAACUGAGACACGGUCCAGACUCCUACGGGAGGCAGCAGUGGGGAAUAUUGGACAAUGGGCGCAAGCCUGAUCCAGCCAUACCGCGUGGGUGAAGAAGGCCUUCGGGUUGUAAAGCCCUUUUGUUGGGAAAGAAAAGCAGCAGGUUAAUACCCCGCUGUUCUGACGGUACCCAAAGAAUAAGCACCGGCUAACUUCGUG
This 492-nucleotide ribosomal RNA is filed under the name uncultured bacterium. RNAcentral describes it as "partial 16S ribosomal RNA". It matches the Rfam family "Bacterial small subunit ribosomal RNA", at positions 29 to 507 of the family's 1533-position model. The record is from RNAcentral.